UAAGUUCCGACCCGCACGAAAGGCGUAACGAUUUGGGCACUGUCUCAACGAGAGACUCGGUGAAAUCAUAGUACCUGUGAAGAUGCAGGUUACCCGCGACAGGACGGAAAGACCCCGUGGAGCUUUACUGUAGCCUGAUAUUGAAAUUCGGCACAGCUUGUACAGGAUAGGUAGGAGCCUUUGAAACGUGAGCGCUAGCUUACGUGGAGGCGCUGGUGGGAUACUACCCUAGCUGUGUUGGCUUUCUAACCCGCACCACUUAUCGUGGUGGGAGACAGUGUCAGGCGGGCAGUUUGACUGGGGCGGUCGCCUCCUAAAAGGUAACGGAGGCGCUCAAAGGUUCCCUCAGAAUGGUUGGAAAUCAUUCAUAGAGUGUAAAGGCAUAAGGGAGCUUGACUGCGAGACCUACAAGUCGAGCAGGGUCGAAAGACGGACUUAGUGAUCCGGUGGUUCCGCAUGGAAGGGCCA
Molecule: ribosomal RNA, 468 nt
Filed under: Staphylococcus aureus
Lineage: Bacteria; Bacillati; Bacillota; Bacilli; Caryophanales; Staphylococcaceae
Description: bacterial LSU rRNA
Rfam family: Bacterial large subunit ribosomal RNA
Source: RNAcentral